Long non-coding RNA from Ctenopharyngodon idella (grass carp), 4241 nucleotides. RefSeq lists it as uncharacterized. The transcript has 5 exons. Lineage: Eukaryota; Metazoa; Chordata; Actinopteri; Cypriniformes; Xenocyprididae. The record is from RefSeq and is a predicted model, not a curated record.
ACUCGGUUUGACAACCAGAUCAUAGUUCUGCACAUCUGUUAGCAAUUUAAAAGUAAGAAUAUAAUACCACAGAAUUUUUGUAGUAUAUUUGGCAUUAAUAACCACAUCAUAAGGAAGUCAAUAAAUACAGCUAACUGAAUUGGUCGGCAGAACGUAUGGAGACAUAAAUAUUGAGGUGUCCUAUUUGAAAGGGCGGUACCAGGACACUCGUGAGACGAGCUGCUAUCCGACACCUGUCGCUUUGUUUUGUUUGCAAGACUCAAGAACAAGGGAGCUGGGAGGGCAAGUAUACGUCACUAGUUUUUGGUUUCAGUUAUCAUUGAACUGCGAGAAAGACAAGGAAAGAGCAAAAAGAGAGGCAAAGAGAUACAGAGCAAGGAGUGAUGAGGCCAAUAAUUUGCUGAUCCUUGAAAUUGAAGCGAUGAGACCGCCUCUAACAAUACUGCAGCACUAGAGAGAUUUGGACACACACCUACACAACACCCACACACACAUAUAUGUUCACAUGCAAAAUGUUUCAAAAUGAUGAACUGCUGAGGAUACGACAUUAAAAUCAGCUUUUAAAAGGAUUUCUGACAAAGCACAAUAAAGAGGAAGGAUCAACUUUGGACUGAGAGAUACGCUGUUAAAUGACUAUGAAGACCGGGAAGAAAUCAUUCAUAGGAUCCAGUUGAAAAGACAAAACCUCUCAGAGGGCGAGGCUCGAUUCAGCGCACCUCCUCACCAUCUCUCGCUGACAGCAGACUGAGGUGUUUGGUUAAGGAUUUUCUGCCCAAGUUGUCAAACUGACGUCAUUAGAGAAGAAACACCAUUCCAGAGGGGAAGCACAUUUUUAGAUUUGGACUAAAGAUUAUGAAAACAAACACUUUUUUAAAACUUGCACAGAUUAAUUGUUCAACACAAGACUAGUAACAGAAUGCUAAUAAAGUACAUUUUGAUUUCAUGUGGUGGCAGAAGUCAUUGGAUAUGUAUAAACUUUUCAUGCCAGGUUACACUGUAAAAAGUAAUGUGUUCUAUCUACUCAAUAAAAUUGUGGCAACAGAUUACAAGCAAUAUUAUUCAUUAAAUUCAACAUAUAAGAACUGAGUUAGAAUUAAUCAAAUUAAAACCUUAAAAGUCAGACAUUUAAUAUGUGUAAAAUUAGCAAACACUAUACAAAAACCACAAACUGACAUAAAAAGCAGAGUCAAACUGAACAACUAAACGAAACACCGAUCACAAUAAUGGUGACCAAACAUUUUCCAUAAAAUCAACAUCAACAUCUAAACCUCUGUUAAUUCAUGUGUUUCUCUUUCCUUCAGAGAUUCUGCUUGUUAUCAUCAGGUGUCUUCAAUGUUGGCAAUAAAAAAUAAAGAGUUCUUAAUUCAUCUUUGACGUCUGCCUGUUAUUCAGAUAUUUUUGUUUAAAUUUUACUUGUUUUAAAUGGUUGACAUUUAAGGAAUUAAUUUGAUUAAUUCUAACUCAAUUCUAUUUGUUGAAUUCAAUUAAUAAUAUUGCUUGUAAUCUAUUGCCAAAAUUUUAUGGAGUAGAUAUAGCGUAUUACUUUUUACAGUUUUUCAAAUGUGACAUUUGCGCCGCCUUUAUAAAAAGGGUAAAUAUUUGUAUAAUAUUCUGUAUAUUGUAUGAGUUCCUUCUUUUGCCACACAUUUUGUAAACAUUUUAAGUGCUUUAUUUUGCAAAAAGGAAGCUAAUUUUACAGAUAAAAUCAUUAUCAUGGCACAUAUUGUGUUUAGUAGAUCAGCUUUGCCAGUCCAUCCAUUUAUUCAUCCAUCACAACAGACAUAAUCCACUUUAGUCUGAUUUAGUUGUCUAGGCUUUGAUCUCUUUGGCUCUGUGUUUGUUUCAUCUGUCACCUGAGUGAGCAGGAUGCUCUGUUUCACUUUUACAAUUAACCUGCUUUAUAUACUAAAUACACAUACAUGGCCUAAUUGUGCAUGAUUUAUCAGUGCACAUUAUUCAAAGGGGAAAAAACCUUACCUGUAUCUCACCUCAAUAGCAGCAAAAGUGUUUUGCAAUACAAUAUGAACACAAUAAGUACAUUGUACCACCUAAUAUAAAGUGUGACUGUUAACUUCAAUUCUUAUCACUCAAACAGAGGAACAACAAUGGUUAUCUCCCCCACAUCAAUCUUUGAGAAGUGAUCUUUUAGGGGAAAUACUGUAGCGUAAAAACCCCAAACAGAGGCAUUGUGAUGUCAUGAACACUCAAAUUUUGCUAAGAUUUCAGCAAACUUUCUGUGGGAAUUCUGUAAAUGAUCAUGGCAGAGACUCAAUCAGUGUGAAUAGUUAACAAAGAAGACAAUAUAAAGAUAUUAUUAAAUGAUAUUUGGCGAAAAACAACUGUUUAAUCGAUAUAAAUAAAUAUGUAAUUAUAUUUCUAUUUAUAAGUAACUAUUUCAGGCCAUUUUCAGUAGAUUUCCUGUAACACUUUACAGAAAGGUUCAGUUCGUUAUGUAAAGCAUUAGUUCAUGGAUAAGAUAUCAUGAACACACUUAUACUGUACAUUCAUUAAUUUAGGCUAAUGUUAAAUUAAAUAUUUAACAACAUUAUUAAUUUAUAAUUUAAUGAUUAUUUAUUUAUUAAUUAAUUAUUUAAUGAUUUUACAAUUAAUAAUUUCUUUCAUUUAAAUUUAUUUAAUUUAAAAUUGAUAUUAAAUUAACUAAUUUCUAGUACUAAUUGACUGCCAUAGUAUUUUUUUCCAACUAUGGUAGUCAAUGGGGGGCGAGAUCUGCUUGGUUAUAAACAUUCUUCCAAAUAUCUUCUUCUGUGUUCAGCAAAACAAAGAAAUGUAUACAGGUUUGGAACAACUUAAGGGUGAGUAAAUGAUGACAGAAUUUUCAGUUUUGGGUGAACUAUCCCUUUAACAGUUGCAAAGGCCUCAAAGCCCAUUACACAGCUCCUGCUGAGCAAGUAGGGGGAGUCACGAAUCAAUUAGUCAAGAAAACAAAGAAUUGAGAUAUCAAACAUCAAGACCAUGUGUCUGACUAGGCAAACAGCAGCUAGAGAGAAAUCGAUGUAUUUUACAUGAGUGUGUGGGCAUGAGGUUGGCGCAAGCCAGAAAGUCAACCGGCCCUGAGCAGUGAGAGGAGGUGCAGAAGUCAAGCAUAAACUCCCUCUUCUCUUCAGAUGAUUCACUUCCUGCCCACCAGAGUGUGGCAGACGGUAUCUGACCAAAUGACACUCAGCCUGUUAUGCAAAUGCACACUCUCAGUUGAGCAAAAGAGACCUGCGUCUCCACGGUAACGUGGCAAGUAUAGUAACAGGAAAUAAAUAGUAAUAAUUGGAUCUCUGACAACUAUGACAGAAUGACUCAUUCAAAGGACCCUCGGUGAGCAGCGGAAAGACUUUGCCACCUGUGCGCUUGGCGUAUGAGAUACUGUUACAGUAACACGAUUAUGUGGAAAUAUGGGCAGGUUAGUGAGGGAAGGAAGAGACAGGACUAACAGAGAAAAGGUUAUCAAGCUGAACCACCAGAUAUAGACACCUGAUCUAGGUAAAGACUGGAUAAUAUUGUUGUUUCUCUGUUCUAUAGUGUCAGCAUAAACAAACAAACAAGCAAGCAAAUAAAUAAUACAAACAACAUCUUAAAAUGGAAAUUUCUCUUUUAAAAUCCUACAUCUGUUUAAUAUUCAUCAGUUAUGAGCUGAAAUGCACAGGAACCUGAUAAGCACUAUCCAGUAUUCCAAUGAACUAAGUGACCUUCCUCCGAAGAAUUUCCCCAUCGUUUUUGUCAUUUGAAACCUACAGCAGCUGAAUUUCCCUCUAUGGUCCUCCUAACUGCUAUCUGAAAGACAGGAUGUUUGGUUGGAUACAAAGCAUGUAAUGCUUAAGUCAGGUAAUGUCAUGCGAUGUCACCUGAUCCUGCUCGUGUAAACAGAACUUGGCAAGGCUCCUUCUCCACAGGCCACUUCAAAGAACUCAUCCUCUUUGUUUAAAAUGAAAGCAUAACAACGGCAUUAUGUGUAGACCGGAUUUACAGAUAGAACAGGUUAUACAUUCCAGAAGAAGUCCCAAUUGAUUCUAUGGAAGUGAAAAUGCAAAUCAUAUGCACCAAGCUUAUUAUUGUUUACUAAAACUAGGGCCACGUUUACACUAGUGCGUUUUCGUUUUAAAAUGCAUAACUUUUGCUACAGUUAUGCCUGGCGUUUACACUAUGGCGUUUUCGACCCUCAAAAACUGAGACUUACUGCAGAGCCCGUUUUAGUUUGAAAAUUCCGGGGUUGCGUUUCAGCGUAAACGUAC